RNAcentral lists this ribosomal RNA (406 nucleotides) under uncultured bacterium. Its description in RNAcentral is "partial 16S ribosomal RNA". It matches the Rfam family "Bacterial small subunit ribosomal RNA", at positions 29 to 526 of the family's 1533-position model. The record is from RNAcentral.
AGUGAACGCUGGCGGUAGGCCUAACACAUGCAAGUCGAACGAGUGGCGGACGGGUGAGGAAUAUAUCGGAAAUUACUCUGUCGCGGGGGAUCACGUCGCGAAACUUACGCUAAUACCGCAUACGAUGGGCUGAGCCGAUGUCGUAUUAGCUAGUUGGCGGGGUAAAGGCACACCAAGGCGACGAUCCGUAGCUGGUCUGAGAGGAUGACCAGCCACACUGGAACUGAGACACGGUCCAGACUCCUACGGGAGGCAGCAGUGGGGAAUAUUGGACAAUGGGGGCAAGCCUGAUCCAGCCAUACCGCGUGGAUGAAGAAGGCCUUCGGGUUGUAAAGUCCUUUUGUUGGGAAAGCGGUACCCGAAGAAUAAGCACCGGCUAACUUCGUGCCAGCAGCCGCGGUAAUUC